This is a long non-coding RNA of Anoplopoma fimbria (sablefish), 617 nucleotides long. RefSeq lists it as uncharacterized. The transcript is spliced from 2 exons. The record is from RefSeq and is a predicted model, not a curated record. NCBI's taxonomy places the organism in Eukaryota, Metazoa, Chordata, Actinopteri, Perciformes, Anoplopomatidae.
CACAAUAGAAUCAUGUUUUUAUUCGUGCAUUGUUUGAGUUUGUCCUUUCCUCCAUGCAGAGGUUAGCUGGUGCAACGCUGCUGGUGUUUGCCAACAAACAGGAUUUACCAGGAGCCCUGUCGAAAGAGGCAAUACGAGAGGCGCUGGCCCUGGAUGAGAUCAAAAGUCAUCACUGGUGUAUCAUUGGUUGCAGCGCAGUCACAGGAGAGAAUCUGUUAACCGGAGUGGACUGGCUACUAGAUGAUAUCGCUGCAAGGAUCUUCACCACUGACUGAGUGUUUGAGCGCAGACAUGACUCCAAGCUCAUCGUUGGACUACGGUGAUCGAAAUCAAGCUCAAAUUUCUCUUUUUGUUCCAUCAGCUGUUUGAGGUCACCAGACAUGGGUGCUGAUGUCUGUAUCCAUAACAUGAAUAUAACCUGGUUUACAUACAUUUUAUUUAAUAUUGACAUUUGAUUCUGAUAUUGUCUGAGACGGGAGACAGAAACAGCAAAAGCUUUUGUCAAAAUGAACACACAAUGAAACCUAAAUUAAGUUUGUUUACAGUAUGCAAUGCCUGACAUGAAUCUUGUUCUAAUACAUUUAUAUUCCUUUUGAAUAAAGAUUACUUUGUCACUG